This 1156-nucleotide long non-coding RNA is filed under the name Callithrix jacchus (white-tufted-ear marmoset). Its description in RNAcentral is "lncRNA (ENSCJAG00000076603.1)". The record is from RNAcentral. Lineage: Eukaryota; Metazoa; Chordata; Mammalia; Primates; Cebidae.
AAUUUCAGCAUAAACAAGCACAAAAAUUUAGUCUGCUGGCAGACUGAAGCAAAAAAGUCAAGAUGGAAUACAAUGAAUUCCAACACAAUGGGGCACCAGGCUUUUCGGCCUCGUUUUAAAUUUUGUUUCGGUUUCGUUUGUUUUUCUUUAGAGAUGUGCUCUUUCUCAUGGGACUUGAAGUGGAGUCGUCUUUGUGCUGUGCUAGUUUUGCCAUACUCAUUUCAGAUUUGAAGGAGUGUCCAAACAGGUUGUGUGCUGGAGUUCCUUCAAGACAAAAACAAACCCAGCUUGGUCAAGGCUAUUACCUGUUUCCCAUCUGUAGUUACUGGAUGAAGUCAUGUACAUGACCAUUCUGUAGCAAUAAAUGUGCCAAUUCUACUACAAAAAAGAAGAAGAAAGAAAGAAAGAAGAAGAAGAAAAGAAGAAGAAGAAGAAGAAGAAAGAAGAAGAAGAAGAAGAAGAAGAAGAAGAAGAAGAAGAAGAAGAAGAAGAAGAAGAAGAAAUCUUCAAACUGCUUUAUACAGUGGCUUAACUAAUUUACAUUCCCACCAAUAGAGUAGAAGCAUUCCUUUUUCUCUGCAGCCUCACCAGCAUCUGUUGUUUUUUGACUUUUUAAUAGUCAUUCAGAUUGCUAUGAGAUGGUAGCUCAUUAUAGUUUUGAUUUUCAUUUCUCUGAAGAUUAGUGAUGUUGAGAAUUUUUUUAGGUGUUUGUUGGCCACUUCUUUUGAGAAGUGUCUGUUCAUAUCUUUUACCCAAUACUUAAUGGGGCUAUUUGUUUUUUGCCUAUUCAAUUGUUUUAAGUUCCUUAUAGACUCUGAACAUUAGACCUUUGUGGAAUGCAUGGUUUGUGAAUAUUUUCUCCCAUCCUGUAGGUUGUCUGUCCACUUCACUGACAGUUUCUUUUGCUGUGUAGUUCUUUAGUGUAAAUAGGUCCCAUCUGUUAAUUUUUGUUUUUGUUCCAAUUGUUUUUGGGAAUUAGCCAUAAGUUCUUCACCAUGGCCAAUGUGCUGAAGGGUAUUUCUUAGAUUUUCAUCCAGAAUUUUUAUAGCUUUAUUUCUAUUAUCUGACUUUUAAUUGAUAUUUAAUCAUCUUUUCAUAUUGCUUGUAAUUUUUUCCCCAUCCUCUGCCUUCUGUUAUAUUUGACUUUCUAUAUUCC